UAGCCAUUCAUUUUUCACCAUAGGAUAAAAUAGUUUCCUAAUGCUGUGUAGUUUUUCCUGGUGGCUGAUUUGACAUACAGCUCUCCUUCCUUAACAAGAGAUGAUGACCACCUGACAUUAACAUUACUGGCUAUAAUGAUUUUGGAGUUCCCUACAAAACCUUUAACUUGGAUCCUGAAACAGGGACAGUGAGUUGCAAGAAAGUCAUCACCACUUAAUAUUACUUCAUUUUAAAUACCAUAUUCUUUGAGUAGUGCUUGCAAAAUGUGCACGCUCUUCCGUGUAUAAGAUGCAAAGUCUAUGCCCGUAGCUCUGGACAAAGAAGGAGAAAAUGACACAAAAAGAAAGAAACGGGUAAAAUAACUCAUCAAAAUAAGCAGUUUGGUUCGACUCUCCUACACUGGUUCCUGAUGAACAGAAGGAUGUCUCACAGAAAGCGUGAUAUUAGGCCCUGAUGAAGGAUAGAGCAUCUUCUAUAUUGUGUUGUCCUUGCAGUUGUUUCCAUUGAUUUCUGUGUUAACAGUGGAAUACCUGCCUUCAUGUAAACACUAGGAUAUAUAAACUUAUCAUAUGGCGUGGGGCACACAGUCCCUUUGUGGUCUUUCACUAUUGCAUGAUUUCUUCUAAAUGAAUUAACUCAAUGAAGACAAAUUAAGAGAAACCUGAUACAGGACCACAGAAAAAUGUCCAGUCUACUUUGUAAGGACCAAGAUACGUAGAUUAACCUUCUUCUUAUGAUAUCUCUGCAAAUAGGUGGAAGAAUGUUACCCUCAAUCUGAUUGUUUUCCAAGUGUCAGAUGCUGCCCUUCUUUUUCACCAGAAUAGGUGAACAUCAUCAGAAUGCAUACCCAAAGCAUAAGACAGCACUUGCAUUAUUCCUCAAAUGCUUUACACUUAAGCUGUCUUGGGGCAUGUCAAAAAAUGUAAUGACCAUAUAAUACAAAUUACUUGUUAUCAUGAGUCUAUUGUUUCCCCCAGACAGGAUGAUCAUGGUUGAUUGUUUAAUUAAACCACUUUCUUGUAUAUAUCAAUUUA
Long non-coding RNA from Protopterus annectens (West African lungfish), 1035 nucleotides. RefSeq lists it as uncharacterized. The transcript is spliced from 2 exons. The record is from RefSeq and is a predicted model, not a curated record. NCBI's taxonomy places the organism in Eukaryota, Metazoa, Chordata, Ceratodontiformes, Protopteridae.